Molecule: ribosomal RNA, 340 nt
Filed under: Tetraclitella purpurascens
Lineage: Eukaryota; Metazoa; Arthropoda; Thecostraca; Balanomorpha; Tetraclitidae
Description: partial 12S ribosomal RNA
Source: RNAcentral
UGUUACUUUUAAUUAAAAAAUUUUGGAAUAAUAGUGUUAAUGAAAUUUAACGGAUUUGGCGGCAAGAUAGCCCCUUAGAGGAACCUGCCCUAUAAACGAUGAACCACGAGUACUUUACUUUUUUUGGUAAUUCAGUUUGUAUAUCGCUGUUGUCAGUUAGAUUCUUGAGAAUAUUUUCAUAAAUGAUAAAAUCAUUGACUUCAAGUAAAGGUGCAGCUUAUAAGAAAGAUAGAGGUGGGUUACAAUUAUUUGAAUAAAACGGAUUAGAUAAUAGAAUUAGUCUAUGAAGGUGGAUUUAACUGUAAAGCCUAAGAAGGUUUGGUGAGAGCUCUAUCUUGUG